CGCAGCCCCUCGCGUGGCGCUAUCUCACCCAAUCCCCCAGGGCCGGAAGGCAGCAAGGGUCAGUGGGCUCUAGUGGGUGCGCGAGGGGUCCUCACG
Molecule: signal recognition particle RNA, 96 nt
Filed under: Actinomycetales bacterium
Lineage: Bacteria; Bacillati; Actinomycetota; Actinomycetes; Actinomycetales
Also listed under: 1 other name
Description: Bacterial small signal recognition particle RNA
Rfam family: Bacterial small signal recognition particle RNA
About the family: The signal recognition particle (SRP) is a universally conserved ribonucleoprotein involved in the co-translational targeting of proteins to membranes. Archaeal SRP consists of a 7S RNA and homologues of the eukaryotic SRP19 and SRP54 proteins.
Source: Rfam by way of RNAcentral